Molecule: ribosomal RNA, 408 nt
Filed under: uncultured bacterium
Lineage: Bacteria
Description: partial 16S ribosomal RNA
Rfam family: Bacterial small subunit ribosomal RNA
Source: RNAcentral
GACGAACGCUGGCGGCGUGCUUAACACAUGCAAGUCGAACGAAGUGGCGAACGGGUGAGUAACGCGUAAUCAACCUGCCCUUCAGCGGGGGACAACAGUUGGAAACGACUGCUAAUACCGCAUACUGAAGGAGGGGAUUGCGUCUGAUUAGCUAGUUGGAGGGGUAACGGCCCACCAAGGCGAUGAUCAGUAGCCGGGCUGGGAGGAUGAACGGGCACAUUGGGACUGGGACACGGGCCAAACUUCUACGGGGAGGAGCAGGUGGGGAACUUCCGCAAUGGACGAAAGGCUGACGGAGCAACGCCGGGGGGGUGAUGACGGGCUUCGGGUUGUAAAGCUCUGUUAAUCGGGACGCGGUACCGGAAUAGAAAGCCACGGCUAACUACGUGCCAGCAGCCGCGGUAAUAC